Molecule: ribosomal RNA, 773 nt
Filed under: uncultured Neocallimastigales
Lineage: Eukaryota; Fungi; Neocallimastigomycota; Neocallimastigomycetes; Neocallimastigales
Description: partial large subunit ribosomal RNA
Rfam family: Eukaryotic large subunit ribosomal RNA
Source: RNAcentral
UAUCUCUGUAGAGUCUGCAUAUCAAUAAGCGGAGGAAAAGAAACUAACUAGGAUUCCCUCAGUAACGGCGAGUGAAGCGGGAAGAGCUCAAAUUUGAAAUCUUCAAGGUUCUACCUUGACGAAUUGUAGUUUAAAGAAGUGUUUUCUGUUGGAGUUUUGGUAAAAGUUCUUUGGAAUAGGACAUCAUAGAGGGUGAGAAUCCCGUAUUUGACCGUUAUUUUCAGCUGUGUGAUACACUUUCAAAGAGUCGGAUUGUUUGGGAAUGCAGUCCAAAAUGGGUGGUAAAUUUCAUCUAAAGCUAAAUAUUGGCGAGAGACCGAUAGCGAACAAGUACCGUGAGGGAAAGGUGAAAAGAACUUUGAAAAGAGAGUUAAACAGUACGUGAAAUUGUCAAAAGGGAAGCGUUUGACACCAGUGUUGUUUUCUCGAAAAUCAAUUAAAAAGUGUUGGAUUUUGUAUUGUUAAGACCUUAUCAGCUUACUGUACUCUUUUCCUGCACUUUUUAAUGCACUUUUCGUUUAACAAGUCAACAUCAAUUUCUUUUGUUGUAAAAGAGUCAUUGGAAGGUGGCUUUCACUUCGGUGAAAGUGUUUAUAGCCUUUGGCUUCUGCAAUCGGAGAGAUUGAGGUCUGCAGCGUAGAUCCUUCGGGGUUAGAUACAUUUGUGCUAAGUUAUAGCCUUUCAUAGACAACUUGUUGACUAUGAUCAGUCAUGUAGCUUACUCGCUUAUGCUAUUUUACCUACGCUUAGGAUGUUGAGUCAUCACACAUCUC